UGGCUCAGGACGAACGCUGGCGGCGUGCCUAAUACAUGCAAGUCGAACGCUUCUUUUCCCACCGGAGCUUGCUCCACCGGGAAAAGAGGAGUGGCGAACGGGUGAGUAACACGUGGGUAACCUGCCCAUCAGAAGGGGAUAACACUUGGAAACAGGUGCUAAUACCGUAUAACAAUCGAAACCGCAUGGUUUCGUUUUGAAAGGCGCUUUACGGUGCCGCUGAUGGAUGGACCCGCGGUGCAUUAGCUAGUUGGUGAGGUAACGGCUCACCAAGGCCACGAUGCAUAGCCGACCUGAGAGGGUGAUCGGCCACAUUGGGACUGAGACACGGCCCAAACUCCUACGGGAGGCAGCAGUAGGGAAUCUUCGGCAAUGGACGAAAGUCUGACCGAGCAACGCCGCGUGAGUGAAGAAGGUUUUCGGAUCGUAAAACUCUGUUGUUAGAGAAGAACAAGGGUGAGAGUAACUGUUCACCCCUUGACGGUAUCUAACCAGAAAGCCACGGCUAACUACGUGCCAGCAGCCGCGGUAAUACGUAGGUGGCAAGCGUUGUCCGGAUUUAUUGGGCGUAAAGCGAGCGCAGGCGGUUUCUUAAGUCUGAUGUGAAAGCCCCCGGCUCAACCGGGGAGGGUCAUUGGAAACUGGGAGACUUGAGUGCAGAAGAGGAGAGUGGAAUUCCAUGUGUAGCGGUGAAAUGCGUAGAUAUAUGGAGGAACACCAGUGGCGAAGGCGGCUCUCUGGUCUGUAACUGACGCUGAGGCUCGAAAGCGUGGGGAGCAAACAGGAUUAGAUACCCUGGUAGUCCACGCCGUAAACGAUGAGUGCUAAGUGUUGGAGGGUUUCCGCCCUUCAGUGCUGCAGCUAACGCAUUAAGCACUCCGCCUGGGGAGUACGACCGCAAGGUUGAAACUCAAAGGAAUUGACGGGGGCCCGCACAAGCGGUGGAGCAUGUGGUUUAAUUCGAAGCAACGCGAAGAACCUUACCAGGUCUUGACAUCCUUUGACCACUCUAGAGAUAGAGCUUCCCCUUCGGGGGCAAAGUGACAGGUGGUGCAUGGUUGUCGUCAGCUCGUGUCGUGAGAUGUUGGGUUAAGUCCCGCAACGAGCGCAACCCUUAUUGUUAGUUGCCAUCAUUUAGUUGGGCACUCUAGCAAGACUGCCGGUGACAAACCGGAGGAAGGUGGGGAUGACGUCAAAUCAUCAUGCCCCUUAUGACCUGGGCUACACACGUGCUACAAUGGGAAGUACAACGAGUCGCGAAGUCGCGAGGCUAAGCUAAUCUCUUAAAGCUUCUCUCAGUUCGGAUUGUAGGCUGCAACUCGCCUACAUGAAGCCGGAAUCGCUAGUAAUCGCGGAUCAGCACGCCGCGGUGAAUACGUUCCCGGGCCUUGUACACACCGCCCGUCACACCACGAGAGUUUGUAACACCCGAAGUCGGUGAGGUAACCUUUUUGGAGCCAGCCGCCUAAGGUGGGAUAGAUGAUUGGGGUGAAGUCGUA
This 1499-nucleotide ribosomal RNA is filed under the name Enterococcus mundtii. Its description in RNAcentral is "bacterial SSU rRNA". It matches the Rfam family "Bacterial small subunit ribosomal RNA". Lineage: Bacteria; Bacillati; Bacillota; Bacilli; Lactobacillales; Enterococcaceae. The record is from RNAcentral.